UGAGGGGGGCUGCUCCUAGUACGAGAGGACCGGAGUGGACGCAUCACUGGUGUUCGGGUUGUCAUGCCAAUGGCACUGCCCGGUAGCUAAAUGCGGAAGAGAUAAGUGCUGAAAGCAUCUAAGCACGAAACUUGCCCCGAGAUGAGUUCUCCCUGAGACUUUAGGUCUCCUGAAGGAACGUUGAAGACGACGACGUUGAUAGGCCGGGUGUGUAAGCGCAGCGAUGCGUUGAGCUAACCGGUACUAAUGAACCGUGAGGCUUAACCUUACAACGCCGAAG
This 280-nucleotide ribosomal RNA is filed under the name Salmonella enterica. RNAcentral describes it as "partial 23S ribosomal RNA". It matches the Rfam family "Bacterial large subunit ribosomal RNA", at positions 2663 to 2925 of the family's 2925-position model. RNAcentral also lists the same sequence under 4 other names. Lineage: Bacteria; Pseudomonadati; Pseudomonadota; Gammaproteobacteria; Enterobacterales; Enterobacteriaceae. The record is from RNAcentral.